RNAcentral lists this ribosomal RNA (497 nucleotides) under uncultured bacterium. RNAcentral's name for it is "partial 16S ribosomal RNA". It matches the Rfam family "Bacterial small subunit ribosomal RNA", at positions 28 to 507 of the family's 1533-position model. The record is from RNAcentral.
GAUGAACGCUGGCGGCGUGCCUAAUACAUGCAAGUCGAGCGAACGGCCGAGAAGCUUGCUUUUCUGAUGUUAGCGGCGGACGGGUGAGUAACCCGUGGAUAACCUACCUAUAAGACUGGGAUAACUUCGGGAAACCGGAGCUAACACCGGAUAAUCUUUUGAAACGCAUGGUUCAAAAGUGUAAGACGGUCUUGCUGUCACUUAUUGAUGGAUCCGCGCUGCAUGAGAUAGUUGGUACGGUAACGGCUUACCAUGGCAACGAUGCAUAGCCGACCUGAGAGGGUGAUCGGCCACACUGGAACUGAGACACGGUCCAGACGCCUACGGGAGGCAGCAGUAGGGAAUCUUCCGCAAUGGGCGAAAGCCUGACGGAGCAACGCCGCGUGAGGGAUGAAGGGCGUCGGAGCGUAAAACUCUGUUAUUAGGGAAGAACAUAUGUGUAAGUAACUGUGCACAUCUUGACGGUACCUAAUCAGAAAGCCACGGCUAACUACGUG